CCCCCCACUAUGUCUUCAUCUUUAUCUGUCAAAGGAAAUGGGAUCCUAUUUCUAGCCAUCCUUCCGACCUGGAAGGGCCAGGUGCUGCAUGACCUUGACCCAGACCCUGCCAUGGUUACUAGGAGGCAUUUUGAGGGGAGUGUGGAUUCUAGAAUUCCUCAAGCACAGAUGUUCUAAGGCCAGGAUUUAGGAUUCUCUCUAGGAUCCUAUGCCUUCCCGUUACGCUUUGCGGAAGGGAGUCAAAAGAGAGCACUUGUCUUCAUGCCACAGCCUUGCUCCUUCUAGAUGGGGAUGCUUCAGCAAGGUGAACUUCAGCCUCUAGGACUGCUCCUCGCACAAAAGACAGGAGUCCUGUUCCUGUGUUGGGGGGGGGGGGGAAUGGGGCUGUGCUAUCCCCAGCUGGGUAGUGAGGCCCCACUGACAUUCCUCUCUCAGAGUAUAAACCAAGUGCUUUUUCAGCCAUUCUGUCUCAUUCUGUCCCAGGCUCAUGGGGAUUUGAACCUGGCUUUUCUUCAUUUGGUGGUUGUGAACUCACCUUUCCGAGCAUCAUCUGUAAAAGGGGCAACAACACCUAUUCCACAGGGCUGCCGGUAAGAAUUAAAAACUUGAGUUGGAAAGGCAGACACCUGUUCUUGAGAACUGACCUAUGAAGUUGCCUCCUCCAGAAAGCCUUCCCUGACUGCUAUCUAGUAGGCUUCUCCCUUUGGGAUCUCACAGGCCUGAGCUCUCAGCAUUGCAAGUGUUUCUGCUGCCUGUUUCUACUCUUGUUGCCUCCACUAGACUCUGGAUCCUUCAGGGGCAGUGCGUUUUUCGGAUUCAUUCCUGAAUGCCUAGCAAGGGGUCCAAAUGGAGUUGGAUUACAGUCAGUGUUCCUUCCUGUCUUCUUCCCUCCCUCCCUCUAUCUUUUUUACCGUAUGAGGCUGUCUUCUCCCCAAAGGGCUGUGGCGAUGGGUAGAUAGGUCCUUAGGGCAGAGCCCCCCCAGCUCUCUUACCCUGAGCCAGCUAGGUUCCGGGGCAGCAGAGAGAGCAUUCUGGAGCCUGAAGGAAAAGCAGUCACCCAGGGCUGGCAGGUGAAGGGCAGCUGGUGGUGUCCAGCUGGCAGGGGGCACCAUAUGGGCCUAGCGAGCAGGCGGGCCUGGGAACGCGGAGACUGCAGGGAAGGCUGUUUCCAGGGCCAUCGCAUCGUCCCGGAGGUGGCUUGCUGGGAGCUGUCAGCCAUGAAUCCCCUGCAGAGGGGCAGCCGGCUCGUGCCCCUUCUGCCAAUCCAGGAACAGAAGCAGAAACAGAAGGUCAGAGCGGCAAGGGGCCUCCUCUGAGGUCACCGUGUCCAAACCCUCAUUUCGCAGCAGAGCACGGUAGUUAAACACAUGGAUACUGGCGCCCGGGAUCCUGUCUCCCCCGCUUCUUUACUUCGUGACCUUAAAAACCGUCAUCAUUCGUUUCUGCUGGGAGCACCCCUGGCCGUUCGGUCAUUCCACCAAGCGUGUGAUGGCACAGAGCCUGUCGUGUGGGAGGCCCGGACUCCGCUCGCCCUUUCUCCUGGAGAAGAUUCUGGUUGUAACUGCUCAGCCAGCCUCUCCCCUUCCUGGCUCUCUUACUUACGGCUGGAUCCCAGCGCCCUGGCUGUUCUCAAUCUGAGGGCCGGUCUUUGCGUUCGAAGGGAGGUUAGCAAAGGUCAGAAAGGUCGGAAAGACAGACAGCAUCCACUGAGACUGUCAGAAACGGAACCCUUUUCACCCUCUUCCGCUGUCUCCUCCUUGUCCUCAUGCACCUGUCGGGUGUGAGGACCUCAGAGAGGCCCCGAGAGUCUCCCAGCCGUUGCCCAGCCCCGCCUCCUGCCCGCGGACGCGCCACCACCACAGGAGGGACGCCGGGUGUACCGUGGGGCACCCGGGUUUUGGGUUCAGCUGCGCCACCAUCUCACUUGAAACUACCCUUCCUGGCCCCCUUGCAGUCAGGAGAGGCAGACCUGGCCAUCGAAGUGGGUAGAAGUGAUAUGCGUAAAACUCGGGGGAACCUGUGCUCGCUCUCUCUCUCUCUCUCUCCCCGUCCUGGGGUGAACUUGGACAUGAGGCGUCUGCGAUGGAAGGAAGGUGCGUUCCAGGGGGAGCAGAACCGCCCCCACUCCACCACCACAGGCAGCGGUAAACUUAGAUUGUGUUUGUUGAAUGACUGCGGCUACGGGGUCACGUUCGUCGUAGCAGCUGGCGGUGCUUCCCCUAAUACAGCCUGGAGGAAGCGGCACCGGAGCAGCCUCUGAAAAGGCGAGUAAGGUUUGGCGACGUGGACAGGCGGGAAGGGACGUUCCAGAGGGAAGGGACAGGGGCAGCAAAGGGGUGGGAGCCGGAACAGGACGAUGUGUUUGCACCCUGGAGAGAAAGUCAGCGUGAUCGGUACUGAGGGCUGCCCUGGGCUCCAACCAGGGGUGUGCUGAAUCCAGCCCGUCCCGGCUCCGGGCAGCCGAUGGUUAGCAUCGUUUCCCAACUCGGUGCUCAGUGACAGCCAUCCUGCGGUGGCAUGAAAUCGGCCAUGGUGGGAGUAUUUACGCCAUGGCAACCGGCAAACACUCUAAGCCAGGGCUCUUUCCUCCUAUUGUUAUCCAGUUAUCUGCUUACAGCUCACAAGCAAGUGGACCCUGCCCAUCUGAGAGGCCGUGCAAGGACCAAAGACCCUGCCCCCUCUGAGCCCUUUAAGCCUCACGUUCCUCAUCCGCAGAAUGGGGCGCAUCACCCUGCCUCCUCUGCCAGGCUGACCGCGGGCAACAGGAAAUGAGAUCGUGCACGUGGAGCCCUGCCUGCGUCCCCUCAGGAUCGUCGUUCCCGUGCACAGGACAGCCUCUGAGGGCUUUCGCUGGCCGGAGGGGCUGCUCACCCACACGGGCAGGCUGGGGGAGUGCUGGGACCUUGAUGUCUGUGGGAGCAGACCUCGGCCAAGGGCGGGUGGGAGCUGGGGGGGUGGGUGGGGAAAUAGCCCAGCCUUCUCCCCUCUUUCUUGGGACAGACGUGAGGCCCAUUCCACCCCAUCUCCUGGAAGUCUCCAGAGGGGCGGAGCCUCGGCUGUCCCCGCUGCGGCUCGUUCACCAGCGCGUCCUGACUCUGGGAUUCUUCCUUCCCUGCCUCAGUUUCCCCCUUUCCCUACCGGCGCGUCCUGGGAUUGUUGCAGGAUGCUUUUUUAACCUCAAUGCCCAGGAUUCGUUGUCUCGCCGCAAAGAAUGAAGGGGGUGGGGGGGCACCGAAUAAAACGAGCAGCCGGCAAAAGUUUAUUAGAGUAUAAGAUCAGAAAGCAAGAAUAGUAGGAAAGCUCUCUUUCCAGAGAAGGGAGUGAAUGCCCGCGACUACAGGCAAGGGUCCUUGUUUUAUAAGGUUUUGGUCGCCCCCCCUUCCGCCUCCACUCAUUUCUCCUCUGGUUUUACCCUUAUCGGCGUGAUAACUCUAAAUGCCUAGUCAUUCCUUUUUGAUUGGCUGGUUUCCAUCGUAUGAGGGGUGGUCUACGGCCACACCGUUCCUUGUGGGUCAUACAUUUUAUGGUCGACUGCUUAUUUUUAGUCAGGUCUUUGGUCAAAUUCCUGAGGGGAACCUGAGGGGGAGCAGGCGGUGUCUGUAACAUUCUUAAGAGGAACCUUAUGCCCCCGGGAGACUGCUGUGGUCAGACGCUCCCAGCCUUGUUUCAAAAUAUGUGUUUUUCCCCACCCAGGGAUCUCACGUCCUAACCUUUCCCUCUCUGCCUGUUUUACCCUCUCUUUCCCUAUCAUAGGAUCACUGCCCAAAGGAACUUCUCUCAUCCUUAUCUCAGGGUCGGCUUCUGGGGGAACCCAACCAAGAUGAGCAGUGACCAGGAUCACCUCUAGAGAGAGAGAGAGAGAGAGAGAGAAUCCCAAGCAGGCUCUG
This is a long non-coding RNA of Herpailurus yagouaroundi (jaguarundi), 3887 nucleotides long. RefSeq lists it as uncharacterized. Lineage: Eukaryota; Metazoa; Chordata; Mammalia; Carnivora; Felidae. The record is from RefSeq and is a predicted model, not a curated record. The transcript has 7 exons.